UUUUUAAAGAAAGUUGCGGAGAACACUUAUUCCUAUACAAAAUAAAAGAUAGUAUUUUGACAAGAGUCACCGCCUUCUUGGAUAUUCUGACAUUUGAACACCCCCCAAAAAUAGUUUAGAAAAGAGGUACAGAGAAAACUUAAUCCUAUACAAAAUAAGAGAUUCUUUGACAAGAGUCAUCACCUCCUUGGGUAUUCCCUAGAGUUCAGGUAACAGGAGAUCAGAAUUGUUUUAUGCUUUUUUUCUGAUGCAAUUCAUGAAGAAGUUGAUUGGAUUUAAUCCACCAGAAUAUUCACAUGUAGCUCCCCUGAGAAUGAACUCCGACAUGUGGAGGAUAGGAUAGUCAAGUGAAAAUAUUUUGACGGUAGUCAGCAUGAAAGAACAGAGGCGGAUAGAGCUUUUUAACAAUGGGGUCAAUUGAACGUAAUAUUUUCGACGUAGCAUAUAUAUAUAUAUAUGUGUGUGUGUGUGUGUGUGUGUGUGUGAAAAAUCACUAAAAUUUCAACAAAUAUAAAAUUUUGAACUUAUAAUUUCAAAAGUACAAUGAGUUCGGUACUAAGAAUAUUUCUCCAUUCCCUUAUCAUCUGGAUUAAUCGGACUAUCUCAGCAUAUGGGAAUCCGCUAGGGAAUGGAUUUAACUCAUAGAAGGCGAACUCUAGUUUUAUAUGCUGACAAUAACUAACCAAAGAAAUCAGGAUUAAUCCCACUUUUUGUCCCUUUCCUUUCUUAGGGAGUAAAUGGUUGAAUCCAUUAAGUUUAAUCCUGGAUCCGCCUCUCCGUCUCUGAAAGAACAUGUUCAUGUUACCUGCAAAAUAGUUUUUCUUAAAAAGGAUUUUUCCUCCUAUGAAUAGAAUCUAUCAAUAGCUUUUCUUAGUUGCUACUGGUCUGGCUUCUUUCCUUCUGCCAUAUUCUUCAAUCAGUGAAAAAUAGAGUUUUGGUCUUACCGUCCAGUCCUAGCACUAUGAUCAUUCUGGAUGUCCAAUUGAAAAGAGAAAGUAUGACCAUUCCAAUCAAUCAUGUCUCUUUAUGUUGUCAUUAUUAACUCAUGAAUGAAUUUGUUACAGCAGUUGCUCAAGUGUGUGAAAUGUAGGCAGCACCAACUAGUUGGGACUAGAGCUUAGUCGUGCUGGUACAUUUACAUCAGGCUGAUUUUUUCAAGGAGUCUUUUAGAUUGUUUAUUAGAAAGUUGCAUGUCGGUAGAAAAUAAGAAACUUUAGUCGUUAGAGAACCCAACUUUGUUUCAAAACACAACUUAUUUAGGAAUGGGAUGAAGUCCAAAUGGAGUGGCAGGGACAUGGAAUUCAUAUAGCCAACCAAAUAGUUUGCAAUUGAGUCGUUGUUAUUGUCUAAAUGCUGGAAUGAUGAUGCAUCUGGUUUACUGCUUUUGAGCUGCUUCCACUGAAGCAAGCUAAAGUUGGAAAAUUUUGAGUGCAUAAUUUUCUCCUUUAAUAUGUCAUGCUUGAUGGAUUAGUUCUCAAUUGGGUUCUGCUGGACUAGCUCUUAUUGGCUUCUAUCAACUACUUGGGCUAUGACCAGAUCAUUUUUACACGGAAUGGAGGAAUCCUUCUUCCUUUCGACAUUUAUGAUGGCACUUCUAUGGUCAAAUAGACGGGAAUUAGAGGUGUUAUUCUAGUAGAGUUUACCUUGGCGAUAUCUUUGUUAUCAGUUAUUCAGUUCAUCCUAUAUAAAAAAUUUAAAAAGAAGCAGAAGAAAAAGUUAUCAUGUUUGAUGCUCUUUUUUGGGCUUUAUAAUCCGAGAGAAAGAAACAGGAACAUGAGAUCUCUUUAUCAUGAGAAUAUCAUCUCAGUUGUGCCUUUGGUUUAGGAUCUUAUAUAUCUAGAUUUGGUAGCUCGCAUCUCUUAUGUUGUAUUGCAACUUACUUUGCAGAAAAGUUCAACCCCCAUUGUCAAUCAAAGAUCAAGAAGAGAAGGCGAAGAGGAGUGAGUUUGUUCAAGGAUUGCUAUUGUCCACCAUUCUGGAUGAUAAUUUAUGAAAGGUUGACAAGGCUGCCGGCCCCCCACGUUCACCAGCUUACUGAUAAAGCCGUGUGGUUAGUGGUCUGUCCUAGUGCGCAUGGUGGUAUUAUGUAAUCCAACCGUGGAAUAAGAUGUAGUAAUCCAUGUAAUUUAUCUUGUAGAAUUUAGUUGAUAUGCAGCGGAGUCAUGUAUCUCCUUUUUAUUGCAGUUCAUGCUACGAUAAAGAAUAUAAUAAACGUUUGAGUUAGUGCUGUACUGCAAUUUAUAUUUUUGGAAAUCAAUGUAAUAUAUACUUGUAUUCUAGAAACACUGGGAAGAAAGGUGAAGGUAAGCACGAACACGAAUAAAAUUGGAUAUUGAACAUCCUAGUAACUGGACGUAGAGGCAAAUGGAACUUCCUAGUUAUAAUUUGGUGCAGCAAUAGGUUGGUCAUUUUUUUAUUUUAUUAGCCAUUUGAUAUCAUGUAAAUUGUAAUGGCUCUCUCUUUUGGUUGUAACUUCCCC
RNAcentral lists this long non-coding RNA (2479 nucleotides) under Nicotiana tabacum (common tobacco). Its description in RNAcentral is "long non-coding RNA (NTAB_LNC008868)". The record is from RNAcentral. Lineage: Eukaryota; Viridiplantae; Streptophyta; Magnoliopsida; Solanales; Solanaceae.